GGGAAGGUGGCUCAGUGGUAGAGCGCUUGCCUUGUAUGCAGAAGGCCCUGGAUUCCAUUCCU
RNAcentral lists this transfer RNA (62 nucleotides) under Dipodomys ordii (Ord's kangaroo rat). It matches the Rfam family "tRNA", at positions 1 to 61 of the family's 71-position model. From Rfam's summary of the family: Transfer RNA (tRNA) molecules are approximately 80 nucleotides in length. Their secondary structure includes four short double-helical elements and three loops (D, anti-codon, and T loops). Lineage: Eukaryota; Metazoa; Chordata; Mammalia; Rodentia; Heteromyidae. The record is from Rfam by way of RNAcentral.